GAUGAACGCUGACAGAAUGCUUAACACAUGCAAGUCAACUGGAAUUUGGGUUUUUACCUGAGGUUUGGGUGGCGGACGGGUGAGUAACGCGUAAAGAACUUGCCUCACAGCUAGGGACAACAUUUGGAAACGAAUGCUAAUACCUAAUAUUAUGAUAAUAGGGCAUCCUAUAAUUAUGAAAGCUAUAAGCGCUGUGAGAGAGCUUUGCGUCCCAUUAGCUAGUUGGCGAGGUACCGGAUCACCAAGGCGAUGAUGGGUAGCCGGCCUGGGAGUGUGACCGGCCACAAGGUCCCAGGGACACGGCCCGUACUCCUUCGUGGGGCAGCGGUGGGGAAUAGUGGACAAUGGACCGAGAGUCUGAUCCAGCAAUUCUGUUUGCACGAUGAAGUUUUUCGGAAUGUAAAGUGCUUUCAGUUGGGAAGAAACAAAUGACGGUACCAACAGAAGAAGUGACGGCUAACUACGUG
This 467-nucleotide ribosomal RNA is filed under the name uncultured bacterium. RNAcentral's name for it is "partial 16S ribosomal RNA". It matches the Rfam family "Bacterial small subunit ribosomal RNA", at positions 28 to 507 of the family's 1533-position model. The record is from RNAcentral.